Molecule: ribosomal RNA, 494 nt
Filed under: uncultured bacterium
Lineage: Bacteria
Description: partial 16S ribosomal RNA
Rfam family: Bacterial small subunit ribosomal RNA
Source: RNAcentral
GACGAACGCUGGCGGCGUGCUUAACACAUGCCAGUCGAACGGAAAGGCCUGCUUUCCCUUGUGGAUUGCGGGUACUCGAGUGGCGAACGGGUGAGUAACACGUGAGUGAUCUGCCCCCAACUUGGGUAUAAGCCUGGGAAACUGGGUCUAAUUCCCGAUAGGACUGCAGGGUGGUGCCUGUGGUGGAAAACGAUUUUCUAGUGGUUGGGGAUGAGCUCGCGGCCUAUCAGCUUGUUGGUGGGGUAAUGGCCUACCAAGGCGGCGACGGGUAGCCGGCCUGAGAGGGUGGACGGCCACAUUGGGACUGAGAUACGGCCCAGACUCCGACGGGAGGCAGCAGUGGGGAAUAGUGCACAAUGGGCGGAAGCCUGAGGCAGCGACGCCGCGUGGGGGAUGACGGCCUUCGGGUUGUAAACUCCUUUCGACCGCGAGGAAGCCACCUGGUUGGAAGGGUGGUGACGGUAGUGGUAGAAGAAGCACCGGCUAACUACGUG